Non-coding RNA from Nicotiana tabacum (common tobacco), 1292 nucleotides. NCBI's taxonomy places the organism in Eukaryota, Viridiplantae, Streptophyta, Magnoliopsida, Solanales, Solanaceae. The record is from RefSeq and is a predicted model, not a curated record.
AAACGCACUUCGUCUCUCUCUCGUCUCAUCGGUCUUAAACCUAGAAAAAAUAGCCGACGAAAUGUUCGGCCUGCUACGGUGAAGAAAGAUCCAUUCCGACGAAGUACAACCAUUUCGGCUAAUAUAAGGAAUCUCAGAUACCCUAUCCUUUGCAACAACUGAAGUAGAGGAACUUCAGCCUGUCGUGAUAGAGUUUUGAACCCGUCGGUCCUAGUGAAGCAGUUGUGAUAGAGUUUGGAAGCUUCCUCGGCACAUUGGGAAGGAAUGCGACUCUUGUGUCCUCUUGAUAUUUUGGAUUGGAGGAAGAUGGACACAAGAGGAUAUAUGGGAAUAUACCAAGGAUAAAUAUGAUAUUCCUGAAGCUGGAAAAAAAUGGACAUUGGAAUCAGUUCAAGCUGCCAGGAGAAAGCCCAAGAGUAGAUUGAAAAAAGAUCACUUUGACGCCUAUGAAAAUGAUGAAACUCGAAUGCAACAUAUCCCUGAAGAUGUUCCAGCUUCUCAGUUUAAGGAACUCUUUAGGUAUUGGAACUCUGAGAAACUCCAGUUAUGUGACUUUUUACUUUUUCUUCUUCAUUUUCUUGAACUUCUUCUUAAAGUUCUUCUUCUGCUUGAACUUCUUCUUAAAGUUCUUCUUCUGCUUGAACUUCUUAAAGUUCUUCUUCUGCUUGAACUUCUUAAAGUUCUUCUUCUUAUUUCUGGAGAUGUUUUCUCCUCCUUUUUGGCCAUUGCUGUUGUGUUUCCCUUCUUUCUCUGCUUCACUGCUGCUGAUUUUUUUUUCGCUUUUUCACUUUGUUGCUACUGCUUGUACACUCUGCUCGCCGCUGCUGCUAUUUUUAAAGACUAGCCAAAGGCCUUGCAAUCUGAAAUUUCCUAAAACUACUAAACAAAAUACAAUCAUACUUGGACAAGGUGUACAACAUCAAAAGACAAUUAAGCUAUAAGCAGAAACGAUUAAGUUGUAGAAUGCAAAAAUCGAAGAUGUCUUGGCUUCAUCAGAAGUGUCAAAUUUCUAGUCACCGAGUACUAUUGUGGAGAUAUUAUUGCAGUUGCUCCAUACUCAUGAUUGAAGUAAGAAAACCACUAGUUUGGACCAAAUGCUAGUUUGUUGUUGUUUCUAAUUUGUGAACUACUGAUCCAGUAUAGCUAUAUUAUCUAAUUUAAUAUGCUUAAGUGUCUCUUUCUAUUGUAUGUGAAUUUCCUACUCGUCUUAGAUGGAAAGUAGAUUAUCGUCUAGUGUAAAGAAUAUCAGUUGUUUUUAACAGUAAUCUAAUCUUCUAAAUCUGCAUUGAAUA